CGGAGGCAGCAGUGGGGAAUAUUGCUCAAUGGGCGAAAGCCUGAAGCAGCAACGCCGCGUGUGCGAUGAAGGCCUUCGGGUCGUAAAGCACUUUUCUGAGGGAUGAGAAAGGACAGUACCUCAGGAAUAAGUCUCGGCUAACUACGUGCCAGCAGCCGCGGUAAAACGUAGGAGGCGAGCGUUAUCCGGAUUCACUGGGCGUAAAGCGCGUGCAGGCGGUUCGGUAAGUUGGGCGUGAAAUCUCUUGGCUUAACUAGGAGAGGUCGUUCAAUACUACCGGACUUGAGAAUGGUAGAGGAAGAUGGAAUUCCCGGUGUAGUGGUGAAAUGCGUAGAUAUCGGGAGGAACACCAGUGGCGAAAGCGAUCUUCUGGACCAUUUCUGACGCUCAGACGCGAAAGCUAGGGUAGUAAACGGGAUUAGAUACCCCGGU
This 432-nucleotide ribosomal RNA is filed under the name uncultured bacterium. Its description in RNAcentral is "bacterial SSU rRNA". It matches the Rfam family "Bacterial small subunit ribosomal RNA", at positions 343 to 791 of the family's 1533-position model. The record is from RNAcentral.